RNAcentral lists this ribosomal RNA (301 nucleotides) under uncultured bacterium. RNAcentral's name for it is "partial 16S ribosomal RNA". It matches the Rfam family "Bacterial small subunit ribosomal RNA", at positions 509 to 809 of the family's 1533-position model. The record is from RNAcentral.
CAGUAGCCGCGGUAAUACGAAGGGUGCAAGCGUUAAUCGGAAUUACUGGGCGUAAAGCGUGCGUAGGCGGUUUGUUAAGUCUGCUGUGAAAUCCCCGGGCUCAACCUGGGAAUUGCAGUGGAUACUGGGUCACUAGAGUGUGGUAGAGGAUAGUGGAAUUUCCGGUGUAGCAGUGAAAUGCGUAGAGAUCGGAAGGAACAUCUGUGGCGAAGGCGACUAUCUGGGCCAACACUGACACUGAGGCACGAAAGCGUGGGGAGCAAACAGGAUUAGAUACCCCAGUAGUCCCUGUCUCUUAUAA